UUAAACGGCCGCGGGAUCCUCCACCGUGCAAAGGUAGCAUAAUCACUUGUCCCCUAAAUAGUGACUAGUAUGAACGGCCAAAUGAAGAUCUUACUGUCUCUUGUAGCCAAUCUAUGAAACUAAUCUAUCAGUACAAAAACUGAUAUUUUUUCAUAAGACGAAAAGACCCUGUGGAACUUUAAGCAUAACUCACCUAAUGAUAUACUGCUUUUAGUUGGGGCAACUUUGGAAAUAAACAAAACUUCCAAUCUUAAGCCAAGAUUAAACUGAUCUACACACCAUAUGACCCAGCACAUGCUGAUCAAAGAACCAAGCUACCCCAGGGAUAACAGCGCCAUCCCCUCCUAGAGCCCAAAUCGACGAGUGGGGUUUACGACCUCGAUGUUGGAUCAGGGCCCCCAAACAGUGCAACAGCUGUUAAUGGUUUGUUUGUUCAACAAUUAAAGCCCU
RNAcentral lists this ribosomal RNA (450 nucleotides) under Wilsonosaura josyi. Its description in RNAcentral is "partial 16S ribosomal RNA". It matches the Rfam family "Bacterial large subunit ribosomal RNA", at positions 1923 to 2597 of the family's 2925-position model. Lineage: Eukaryota; Metazoa; Chordata; Lepidosauria; Squamata; Gymnophthalmidae. The record is from RNAcentral.